This 641-nucleotide long non-coding RNA is filed under the name Linum usitatissimum (flax). RNAcentral describes it as "long non-coding RNA (LUSI_LNC005609)". The record is from RNAcentral. Lineage: Eukaryota; Viridiplantae; Streptophyta; Magnoliopsida; Malpighiales; Linaceae.
UACAUUCGGUUUGCCUGACGGGUCAGACAAUUCAGAUCGAAACUCACGUCCAAACCUGGUCCGAAGCUUGCUUGAUUGAAGGAAAUCCAGGUCAAUUUACCUCCCGAGAAGACCCGGCCGGGACUCUUCCAAGGUUAGCUGAUCCUAAGCGAGCUAGGUUUUUUGCAUUUCACUCCCAUUAUUUGAAACUCUAUCUUCACCUAUCAAUUCUUCCCCCUCCCCCCCAUCUACUCCAAUCUGUCCUCCCAUCUCCGGCUAUCUACUGCUAGGGCACCGACCAGGUAAAGCAUUUCGAAGCCGUUUCUAAUCAUGCUUAUAUUUGGGUUUGAGCUAGGGAUUUUGAUCGAGGUCAAACAAAGAGGGAGGCAGCUUAUGCGACAGGUUUGAACUAGAUCGCUAGCGGUUAACAGACCUCAUCCGAAAUCAUAAGGAGUCAAUUUCCGGGUAUUAUUAUUAAAAACCUAGUUCUAUCUUAUCAUGAUUUGGGAUUGUACUACUGUCUUGACUUAAGGUCUGCCUAUUUCUGGUUAUGACGCCAUACCCUUGAAUGUACGCACUUGUUUAAACUGGGAUCAUCUUCCUACCAUGUACUGACCUUUUAAAGCUCUCCUUGGUUGACAUGCCUGCUAACUUUAUUCCGA